GGCGAACGCUGGCGGCGUGCUUAACACAUGCAAGUCGAACGGUAAGGCUCCAGCUCGCUGGGGUACACGAGUGGCGAACGGGUGAGUAACACGUGGGUGACCUGCCCUGCACUUCGGGAUAAGCCUGGGAAACUGGGUCUAAUACCGGAUAGGACCAUGGUGUGGAUACUGUGGUGGAAAGUUUUUUCGGUGUGGGAUGGGCCCGCGGCCUAUCAGCUUGUUGGUGGGGUAAUGGCCUACCAAGGCGGCGACGGGUAGCCGGCCUGAGAGGGUGGACGGCCACAUUGGGACUGAGACACGGCCCAGACUCCUACGGGAGGCAGCAGUGGGGAAUAUUGCACAAUGGGCGGAAGCCUGAUGCAGCGACGCCGCGUGGGGGAUGACGGCCUUCGGGUUGUAAACUCCUUUCACCAUCGACGAAGGGUUUCUGACGGUAGAUGGAGAAGAAGCACCGGCUAACUACGUG
This 466-nucleotide ribosomal RNA is filed under the name uncultured bacterium. RNAcentral describes it as "partial 16S ribosomal RNA". It matches the Rfam family "Bacterial small subunit ribosomal RNA", at positions 28 to 507 of the family's 1533-position model. The record is from RNAcentral.